GAGCUGUGAUGAGAAAUUGUCAUGCACCACUCUGACUAUUAUCAGGUUGAUGAUAAUUUUAUGUACCCAUUCAAUUUCUGAGCUC
RNAcentral lists this small nucleolar RNA (85 nucleotides) under Olea europaea subsp. europaea. RNAcentral describes it as "Small nucleolar RNA Z221/R21b". It matches the Rfam family "Small nucleolar RNA Z221/R21b". From Rfam's summary of the family: Z221 is a member of the C/D class of snoRNA which contain the C (UGAUGA) and D (CUGA) box motifs. Most of the members of the box C/D family function in directing site-specific 2'-O-methylation of substrate RNAs. Lineage: Eukaryota; Viridiplantae; Streptophyta; Magnoliopsida; Lamiales; Oleaceae. The record is from Rfam by way of RNAcentral.